RNAcentral lists this ribosomal RNA (494 nucleotides) under uncultured bacterium. RNAcentral's name for it is "partial 16S ribosomal RNA". It matches the Rfam family "Bacterial small subunit ribosomal RNA", at positions 28 to 507 of the family's 1533-position model. The record is from RNAcentral.
GACGAACGCUGGCGGCGUGCUUAACACAUGCAAGUCGAACGGUGAAGCGCCUUCCUUUUUGGUGGGUGUGGAUGAGUGGCGAACGGGUGAGUAACACGUGAGUAACCUGCCCCCUUCUUCUGGAUAACCGCAUGAAAGUGUGGCUAAUACGGGAUAUUCUGGGUCUGUCGCAUGAUGGGUCUGGGAAAGAUAUUGUUUCGGUGGGGGAUGAGCUCGCGGCCUAUCAGCUUGUUGGUGGGGUGAUGGCCUACCAAGGCGGUGACGGGUAGCCGGCCUGAGAGGGUGGACGGUCACACUGGGACUGAGACACGGCCCAGACUCCUACGGGAGGCAGCAGUGGGGAAUAUUGCACAAUGGGCGCAAGCCUGAUGCAGCGACGCCGCGUGAGGGAUGGAGGCCUUCGGGUUGUGAACCUCUUUCGCCAGUGAAGCAGGCCUGCCUCGUUUGUGGGUGGGUUGACGGUAGCUGGAUAAGAAGCGCCGGCUAACUACGUG